Long non-coding RNA from Peromyscus californicus insignis, 2359 nucleotides. RefSeq lists it as uncharacterized. The record is from RefSeq and is a predicted model, not a curated record. NCBI's taxonomy places the organism in Eukaryota, Metazoa, Chordata, Mammalia, Rodentia, Cricetidae. The transcript has 4 exons.
CAGCACUUCUCCUAGAUUACACUUGGAACUGUGUACAAGGCUCUUGCUGUUUUAUGCUGGGAAAUCUCUCUCCCCCGCUGAUAAGAUUAAAGAGCUAACUCUCAGGAUGCUUGGCCAGCCUGCAAGCCUGCAAUCAAGGUGACACUAGAUUCCUGGGGACCUUGACUGUUGGGGGUUGGGAAGGAGGAAAGAGAGCAGCAGGGAAGGAUUCUUCCAGAAGCUCCAGAAGCAGCUUGAGCAGCAGAGAGAAAAGAGGCAAAGUGUGGGAGGCAGAGGAUGUGAGGGGGCAUUCACUGCAGCUCUUUGCCAACUGGAGAGAGACAAACGGCAUGCUCAGGAAUUCCAGUGUUGGUUGCACAGAGCAACUAGGGGAGGAGCUUUGCCAUCACCAGAAGGACUGCCUUUCCAGACUUUUGAACUGGGCCUCCCUCACAGAAGGACCACCUUUCCAUUCCAGGUUCCAGAAGGUUUCGGAGGCUGUGGUCCACGGGCAGCGUUAUCACGAGAGGCCAUCAAACCAGGUGGAGUGUCUUUUCAUGAUGAGUUUUCGGAGGACCCUGGUCUUGUCCUCCUUCUCCUCAGUGCACCCUUAUAGGAGAUGGUGUGACAUAAAGGAUGUUUCUCUGAUCAACAUUGGAAUUGAUUUGUGUGAAGAGAGAAAGAGAAGGAGCUCUUUAAGAGAAGAGGGACCAGAGGAGUCCAUGCUUUAUAAGAGCCAGCAAGAAGUAGCUGAGACAGUCCAUGGGAAGUAUUUCAUAUACUGUGUAGUUUUGUGUACAAAGAUACUUCUGAAGAGUUAGACAAAAAGCUGUCACACCACUCAAACCCCACCCCCUUGCUACACUCACAAGUUUUCCUUUGUAAUGUAGAAAAUUUGCUAGGAACCUGUUUCUUGUUUAAAAAACAUCUGGGGGCAUAUGCUUCAAGGUCAUAGGCAGAUGUAGCAGUUACCUGCUACCUCACUAGGGGUGGUGCUUCAAGGUCAAAGCUAGAACAGCUACCCACUAUAUCGCACAUCUGCAAUUGUAGCAUUUGGGAGGUAGGGGCAGGAGGACCAGAAAUUUGAGGUCAUCCUAGGCCAAAUAGUGAGUCUGAGGCAAACUUGGGCUACAUAAGACCCUGUCUCAGGCACACACACACACACACACACACACACACACACACACACACACACGAAAACAAUAACAAAACUCUGUCUUGAUUAAACUACUAUAAAGGUUCACUUUCCCUUUCAGCCUUAUUUACUAUGCUAAUUUGAUCUUUGGUGAACCAGUUUUCAAAAUUUCUCCAGUUUUCCAUUUUAUUUUUUCAUUAAGUUUUUAUUUGGAGAUAAUUGUGUUGGCAGCAGUAAUAAGAAAUAACACCCAGAGCUGGGCAGUGGUGGUACAUGCUUUUAAUCCCAGCACUUGGGAGGCAAGUGAAUCUCUGUGAGUUUGAGGCCAGCCUGGUCUACAAAGUGAGAUCCAAGAUAGCCAGGACUGUAACAAAGAGAAACCUUGUCUUGAAAAACAAACAAAAACCAAACCAAACCAAAAAACAACAGCAAAAAAGAAAAAAGAAAUAACACUCAGAGUGUCUGCACUACAGUACAUUUACACUCUGUAUCUGCAUAUAUAGUCUCUCUCUCUCUCUCUCUCUCUCUCUCUCUCUCUCUCUCUCUCUCGCUCUCGCUCUCGCUCUCGCUCUCGCUCUCGCUCUCGCUCUUGCUCUCACUCUCAUGGUUCCGAAUGUUUAAUUUCCUUUGUUCUAUCUUUAGCUUAUAAAUUUUCAAUUUCUGUAUUCUUCUGUUGAGUCAAUAUGUUAUGUUCCAUUUAAGUCAGUGUAAUUUCCAGUCCUAUAAUUCCUACCUGGUUCUCUAGAGCGUCUGCUUCCCAUUAAGUUAUCUUCGUUCUUGUUGAAUGAUUCUUUAUUUUCACUUGUUUCAAAGGUGCUCUUAACUUUCCAUUGAUGAAUUAAGUCAUAACAAUUCUUAUAUUGUUUUGUAUGGGUGUCUACUUUUCUGUCCAUUCCAGGUGAGAUUUUCCUCCUUUUUUGUAUUAUAUUUAUGUUAUAUUUUCUGUGAUGAUUAAAAAAAACUGGACCUGUCUGAGAAUCUAGGUCUUAUGUAUGUAUACUUUCUAUUUCAGCUGUGCUUUGUAAUGCUGCUCUUUCAGGGGUUGAGAGCUCACCCUUUGAUUUUCCAGCUUCUAGGCCUCAGCACACCUCCUUGUAGCAUGCGAAUGGAAAGCACACUGUGCAGGUACCAGGAGUGACUUGCUGUUCAUCCUUCUAGGAAGCAUCAUCACAGCAAACUCAUGACUGAGUAAACUAAAAUGUGGAGAAGGUGAGGAUUUUCCCAAACCUCUUGAUAUUGACAUUG